CUAGACUUGCCACAAGUCGACCAUGGGGGAGGGAGGGCGCGGGGGAGGGAGCGCGCGACCCGAGCGACGAAGUCGCGAGUGGUCGACUUGUGUCGCUUGCAGGAAUUUAAAUCGCAUUAAAAAUUUUGGCGCGAAUAAUUUUGACAUAUUAAAAAGGGUGUGUACAUUUCAUACAAUUGCUUCACCGCGCGCCGUCAAUGGGUCUACAAAAACAUUCUCAAGAAUUGAUAUUUCUUUGUCCUCGAAUGAAACAGUUUGCACCGAGUGUGGAAACGAAAUAACUGACCCAAGUAAGCGCCGAAGAAAAUUGAUUAAGUUCGCGAGCGAUUUAACGUAGUAGAAGUUAAUCUAAUUGAAAAGAAUCAAGC
Paramuricea clavata is the source of this 368-nucleotide non-coding RNA. Lineage: Eukaryota; Metazoa; Cnidaria; Anthozoa; Malacalcyonacea; Plexauridae. The record is from the annotation of a GenBank genome assembly.